This is a long non-coding RNA of Mus musculus (house mouse), 966 nucleotides long. RefSeq annotates it as predicted gene, 36606. The transcript has 5 exons. Lineage: Eukaryota; Metazoa; Chordata; Mammalia; Rodentia; Muridae. The record is from RefSeq and is a predicted model, not a curated record.
GAGGGACCCAGGAGGGAGGAAAGGAGGUUGAGAGGAGGGAAGGAGGGAAAGAGCCCGGGAUAGGGGCUCGCAGGCCGGGACCAAGGGAAAAAGAGGAGAGCUCGCCCAAGAGGACAGCCCUGAGGAUAGGACACUGCGGAGAUGGGCAAACCGAGGAUCUUGAAUGAGAGGCGUGAAAAAGUCUGAAGACAGACAGCAAGGACCACGCAGGAUCCUAGGCAGUGAUGUGAAGGUGUCCAAGACGCCUCUUAGACGAGGACAUUGUCAGCUCUGGUGAUGCUUUUGCCUCAGAAGGGAUUUGGGUCCUCCCAGGGGCAUGGAGAAGAUACAGCCACCAUAUUCUUCAGAUGGAACACAGUCCAGCUGCUGAGGUGGACCUAGGAGCUUGCAAGGAUGACCCAAGGCUAUGGGCAUGGCAAGGCAGGAGACAGCUUUCUACAGAGGUGGCAUGGUGUAACAUGAAGUCCAAGUUACUUCCAGAAGCACCUGAGGUAGCAUGGCUUUUUCAACAAGAGGAUAAGCAACGUGAGGGCCAGAAGAAGGAAACACAUUCUAUCUUUGCACUUCGGAUUCAAAACUCACUCUACCUUGGAAAAUCAUUGGCUCCCUCGCUCUGCUAUUUUUUGCUGCUGGUCCAUGGAAGCUGGGAGAUCCGUGUGGCAGGCUAACUCUAAGGUCGCCCCCUGGUGUCCGUUUCUUGCAUAAUCCACCAAGGCUUCAGUGACACAUCUCAGCCUCUCUUACUGGAUACUCUCAGAGGCCCCAAGAAGACGUGAAGGGAAGUCUGGAGAAUAAAGGCACCACCCAGGUGGAGCUAGCUUCAACUUUACUGUAGCCAAUCCCUACUUCUUCUGAAGAUGUUAGCUGAGAGCCAUUGGAAAAUUCCACUGGACCCCUCCUGGAAGAGACAGCCCAGAGAGCAUGUAGGCCAGAAGGGAGAGGCUGAGUAAGCCCUUCCUACCUCAU